RNAcentral lists this ribosomal RNA (492 nucleotides) under uncultured bacterium. Its description in RNAcentral is "partial 16S ribosomal RNA". It matches the Rfam family "Bacterial small subunit ribosomal RNA", at positions 28 to 507 of the family's 1533-position model. The record is from RNAcentral.
GGUGAACGCUGGCGGUAUGCCUAACACAUGCAAGUCGAACGGCAACCCAUUAAUACCUUGCUCUGCCGGGUCGCGAGUGGGGGUCGGGUGAGGGAUACAUCCGAAGCUGCUUUUUCUUGGAGGAUAACGUAGCUGAACUUACCCUAAUACCUCAUACGGCCUACUGUUGAAACCAAUGGAUCGUCGUACCUUGCGCGAUUGAAUCAGCCUAUUUCGGAUUAGCUAGUUUGCCGGGUAAAGGCACACCAAGGCGACGAUCCGUAUCUGCUGUGAGAGGGUGAGCAGCCCGACUGGAACUGGGACACGGCCCAGAGUCCAACGGGAGGCAGCAGUGGGGAAUAUUGGACAAUGGGGGGAAGCAUGUUGCAGAAAGACGGCGUGGGUGAAGAAGGCAUUCGGGGUGUAAAGCCAAUUUGUUGGGAAAGAAAAGCAGCAGGAGAAGACCACGAUGUUAUGACGGUACCCAAAGAAUAAGCAACGGCUAACUACGUG